AGAGUUCGAUUCUGGCUCAGGAUGAACGCUGGCGGCGUGCUUAACACAUGCAAGUCGAACGAUUGAAGCUGGAGCUUGCUCCGGCCGAUUUAGUGGCGGACGGGUGAGUAACGCGUGGGUAACCUGCCUCAUACAGGGGGAUAGCAGUUGGAAACGACUGGUAAAACCGCAUAAGCGCACGGUAUCGCAUGAUACAGUGUGAAAACACUCCGGUGGUAUGAGAUGGACCCGCGUCUGAUUAGCUAGUUGGUGAGGUAACGGCCCACCAAGGCGACGAUCAGUAGCCGGCCUGAGAGGGUGAACGGCCACAUUGGGACUGAGACACGGCCCAA
This 332-nucleotide ribosomal RNA is filed under the name uncultured bacterium. Its description in RNAcentral is "bacterial SSU rRNA". It matches the Rfam family "Bacterial small subunit ribosomal RNA", at positions 8 to 334 of the family's 1533-position model. The record is from RNAcentral.